GCCAGUGUGGCAUAGUGGUUUGAAUGUUGGACUAAAACUCUGGAGACCAGGGUUUGAUUCCCAACAUGGUCA
This 72-nucleotide transfer RNA is filed under the name Phrynosoma platyrhinos (Desert horned lizard). Its description in RNAcentral is "tRNA-OTHER". The record is from RNAcentral. Lineage: Eukaryota; Metazoa; Chordata; Lepidosauria; Squamata; Phrynosomatidae.